RNAcentral lists this ribosomal RNA (110 nucleotides) under Candidatus Planktophila sp. The record is from RNAcentral. Lineage: Bacteria; Bacillati; Actinomycetota; Actinomycetes; Candidatus Nanopelagicales; Candidatus Nanopelagicaceae.
CCCGGUGACCAUACGCGUCAGGAAACACACGUUCCCAUUCCGAACACGACCGUUAAGCUGACGCGGCCGAUGAUAGUGCCCACAAGCGCGAAAGUAGGUCAUUGCCGGGU